RNAcentral lists this transfer RNA (76 nucleotides) under Christensenellaceae bacterium OttesenSCG-928-L17. Its description in RNAcentral is "tRNA-Thr". It matches the Rfam family "tRNA". From Rfam's summary of the family: Transfer RNA (tRNA) molecules are approximately 80 nucleotides in length. The record is from RNAcentral. Lineage: Bacteria; Bacillati; Bacillota; Clostridia; Christensenellales; Christensenellaceae.
GCCAACGUAGCUCAGCCGGUAGAGCAGCUGAUUCGUAAUCAGCAGGUCGUGCGUUCAAGUCGCAUCGUUGGCUCCA